GUGAUCAAAGGAUGUGGUCACUAGGUCUAUGUGCUAUCACCUGGUGUUUUAAUCAAUCUCUUCUGCUCUUGGAUGUUGUGCUGUGGCCUCCACUGACCUGUGGCUUGUCUCAACUGGACUUUGAACAUCAUGCUCUAGCAUCUGCUGCUGGCAGCCAUGACCUCUGCGUCAGGCAUUAUGGUUGGUCAUCAAUAUCUGGCUCUCCUUUACAUCUGAGUUCCUGCACAACACCGUUUCCUUACUGUCAGAGCACUAUUUACUGUGAAGUUAAUGAAGCUUAAGCUUCAGGGCCUGUAUUAGUUUAUUGCUGCCUAACAAAUAACCACAAACAUAAUGGCUUAAAACACAGAUUUAUUAUCUCCCAGUUUCUGUGAGUCAGGAAUCCAGCAUGUUUUAGCCGGGUUCUCUCACAGACCAAAACCAAAGUGACAACUGUUGUCUUCUUAUGUGGAGUUUGGACUAGGGAAAGAUCUGCCUCCAAGUUCCCUCAAGUUGUUGGCAGAAUUUACUUCUUUCCUUGUAGUUCUAUGACUGAGUGGCAUGUUUGCUUUUUAACUGUCUGAUGAGGACCACUAUUAAACACUGGAGGGUUACUCUCAGAUCCUUGCCAAAGAGUCCUCUCUAUAGACGGCCCUCUCACACUUUAAAUCUGCCUUCUAGAAAGACCUAAUUCCUUUAAAGACAUCAGAGCUGGUGCAUUUCUACUUCUGCUGCAUGCUCGUAGCCAAAGCAGGUCACAAGGCCAGCAAAAAUCAGGGGAUGAGGAAAGAGAUUCUACUUCUUACCAGGAGAAACUGCAAAGUCAAUGCAAAGAGCAUGAACAUAGGUUGAAAAGGUCUAGUAAAGUGAAGCAAUUUAUGCAGUUCCUUUCCUUGUUAAACUGGCAUAGGAGGAAAGCAGCCAGACUAUUCAAUGAAAAGAUAAAGAUGAUGAAGACCUUUAUGAUAAUCCACUUCCACCUAACGAAUAGAUCCCAUCCAGGAUAGCAUAUUAUAUUUAAUUAUCAUAUCUCUUUAGGUUCCUCUUGGCUAUGACAGUUUUUCACACUUUUUUGUUUCAUGACCUUGACAGUUUUGAGAUGUACUGGCCAAGUAUUCU
This 1098-nucleotide long non-coding RNA is filed under the name Homo sapiens (human). RNAcentral's name for it is "HSALNT0139180". The record is from RNAcentral. Lineage: Eukaryota; Metazoa; Chordata; Mammalia; Primates; Hominidae.